Molecule: ribosomal RNA, 459 nt
Filed under: uncultured bacterium
Lineage: Bacteria
Description: partial 16S ribosomal RNA
Rfam family: Bacterial small subunit ribosomal RNA
Source: RNAcentral
CCUACGGGUGGCAGCAGUGAGGAAUAUUGGUCAAUGGUCGGGAGACUGAACCAGCCAAGCCGCGUGAGGGAUGAAGGUACAGAGUAUCGUAAACCUCUUUUGUCAGGGAACAAAGGCGGGGACGUGUCCCCGGAUGAGUGUACCUGAAGAAAAAGCAUCGGCUAACUCCGUGCCAGCAGCCGCGGUAAUACGGAGGAUGCGAGCGUUAUCCGGAUUUAUUGGGUUUAAAGGGUGUGCAGGCGGAUUUUUAAGUCAGCGGUCAAAUCGUGGGGCUCAACCCCAUCCAGCCGUUGAAACUGGGGAUCUCGAGUGUGCGAGAGGUAUGCGGAAUGCGUGGUGUAGCGGUGAAAUGCAUAGAUAUCACGCAGAACCCCGAUUGCGAAGGCAGCAUACCGGUGCAACACUGACGCUGAGGCACGAAAGCGUGGGUAUCGAACAGGAUUAGAUACCCUUGUAGUC